This 301-nucleotide ribosomal RNA is filed under the name uncultured bacterium. RNAcentral's name for it is "partial 16S ribosomal RNA". It matches the Rfam family "Bacterial small subunit ribosomal RNA", at positions 509 to 809 of the family's 1533-position model. The record is from RNAcentral.
CAGUCGCCACGGGAAUACGUAGGGUGCGAGCGUUAAUCGGAAUUACUGGGCGUAAAGCGUGCGCAGGCGGUUGUGUAAGACAGGUGUGAAAUCCCCGGGCUUAACCUGGGAACUGCGCUUGUGACUGCACAGCUAGAGUAUGGCAGAGGGGGGUGGAAUUCCACGUGUAGCAGUGAAAUGCGUAGAGAUGUGGAGGAACACCGAUGGCGAAGGCAGCCCCCUGGGCCAAUACUGACGCUCAUGCACGAAAGCGUGGGGAGCAAACAGGAUUAGAUACCCCCGUAGUCCCUGUCUCUUAUAA